UCCACCUCUGUCUCGCCUUCAACAACGGAACCAAACCGAGAUCCCAUCUCCGCUGGCCGGCGACGGUAAAUAACCCUAACCCCCUUCGAUCACUCCGAAAACCCUACUUCGAUCUUUAAUAUCAGAUAUUUUCCUUUGGUUUCGGCUUGCAAGUAAACCCUGUUCUCGGAUUCCGAAGAGGGGGUCCACGGCCGAUGCUCCUCUUACGACCUCUUACGCCUCCGAGGCGAUCGCAUUCGGUUGGCAUCGCGGAAUCCUACGAUUACUAGAACAGCGAGAGGGAGAUGAAGAGAAAGGGGUUCCGAACUUCUGCCCAGCUGGAACAGAAGCCGGAUCACGAGAAAGCUCUCGACCUGGGCCUGCGGUGAUGUCCGGAUCUUCUCGGAAAUGCUUCUCCCUUCUUCACAAACAACCAUGUGAUUUCAUCGUCGCCACUGAUGAACCCGUCUAAAGACUGGAACCGGGCAUGAAUGUGACUCGAAAUUGGUGCUGCACUCCUUCUGGCUGCAGUUUCUGUUGAUCUGGCAACUCAUACAGCGGUUUCUGUCGGUAAUUUCCUCAGUCUAUACCUGACCAAGUAGGGGACCGUUUGGAGGUGUUAGCACACCAAUCUUUAUUUCCUUCGAUGCGUAGCUAAUAAUCCAUUAGCUUCUUCGAAGCUGAUGCAGCUUGUCCGCUCUUUGUGGAUCAUACAAAUUGAUACUAGAUCGUUCUUAAGUGCCAAGUAUUCUUCAGAUAGGUCUCUGUGUUCAAAUAAAAAUCUUCAGGUUUCCACUGCUCUUUGUUUGCAGAAAUUAGGGAGACCAAUUAUUAUAGACUUGUCAAAUUAUGUAGUUGCAGCAAAAUUGCUUAAUUUGACUCUAUACCUUCAUUAGCUAAGCUGUUAAAUUCUGUAUGUUUUCCUAUAUUAAUUUGGUAUUAAAAUUGUCUUUGGUUUUUUA
This is a long non-coding RNA of Musa acuminata AAA Group (dessert banana), 941 nucleotides long. RefSeq lists it as uncharacterized. The record is from RefSeq and is a predicted model, not a curated record. The transcript is spliced from 3 exons. NCBI's taxonomy places the organism in Eukaryota, Viridiplantae, Streptophyta, Magnoliopsida, Zingiberales, Musaceae.